AAAUGAAUUGACGGGGCCUCACACAAGCGGUGGAUCAUGUGGCUUAAUUCGUCAAUAAACGAGGAACCUUACCAGGGCUUGACAAGCUAAUGAAAUCCUAUAGAAACAUAGGACCUCCGCAAGGACAUUAGCUCAGGUGCUGCAUGGUUGUCGUCAGCAUGUGCUGUGAAGUGCACCCUUAAAUGGGGUAACAUGCGCAACCCUCACUCUAUGUUUUAAAUGUCAUAGAGAACUGCUCGAGACAAUUGAGAGGAAGGUGAGGAUGACGCCAAAUCAGCAUGGCCUUUUGAUGCCCUGGGCCGCACACAUGAUACAAUGGAGCUGACAAUGGGCGAAGUCGCAAGACGGAGGUAAUCCCAACAAACGGCUCCUUAAUUCGGAUUGAGGUCUGCAACUCGACCUCAUGAAGUCGGAAUCGCUAGUAAUCGCCAAUCAGCUAUGUGGCGAUGAAUAUGUUCCUGAGGCUUGUACACACCGCCCGU
Molecule: ribosomal RNA, 482 nt
Filed under: uncultured bacterium
Lineage: Bacteria
Description: bacterial SSU rRNA
Rfam family: Bacterial small subunit ribosomal RNA
Source: RNAcentral